GUCGAGAAUCUUUCACAAUGGGGGAAACCCUGAUGGAGCGACGCCGCGUGGGGGAUGAAUGGCUUCGGCCCGUAAACCCCUGUCAUCUGCGAUCAAACCUUUUCGGUGAACAGCCGAAAAGCUGAUAGUAGUAGAAGAGGAAGGGACGGCUAACUCUGUGCCAGCAGCCGCGGUAAUACAGAGGUCCCAAGCGUUGUUCGGAUUUACUGGGCGUAAAGGGUGCGUAGGUGGCGGAGCAAGUUUGAUGUGAAAUCUCUGAGCUCAACUCAGAAACGGCAUUGAAUACUGCUUUGCUCGAGGGUUGGAGGGGGGACUGGAAUUCUCGGUGUAGCGGUGAAAUGCGUAGAUAUCGAGAGGAACACCAGUGGCGAAGGCGAGUCCCUGGACAACUCCUGACACUGAGGCACGAAAGCUAGGGGAGCAAACAGGAUUAGAUACCCCAGUAGUCC
This 449-nucleotide ribosomal RNA is filed under the name uncultured bacterium. Its description in RNAcentral is "bacterial SSU rRNA". It matches the Rfam family "Bacterial small subunit ribosomal RNA", at positions 354 to 796 of the family's 1533-position model. The record is from RNAcentral.